UCGAGAGGCUUCGGCAAUGGGGGAAACCCUGACCGAGCGACGCCGCGUGGGGGAUGAAGGCCCUUGGGUUGUAAACCCCUUUUGUUCGGGAAGAAAUGCGAUCAGGUGAAUAAUCUGGUCGUUUGACGGUACCGGACGAAUAAGCUCCGGCUAACUCCGUGCCAGCAGCCGCGGUAACACGGGGGGAGCAAGCGUUGUUCGGAAUUACUGGGCGUAAAGCGCACGUAGGCGGCGAUUUAAGUCAGAGGUGAAAGCCCGGGGCUCAACCCCGGAACUGCCUUUGAGACUGGAUUGCUUGAACAUCGGAGAGGUGAGUGGAAUUCCGAGUGUAGAGGUGAAAUUCGUAGAUAUUCGGAAGAACACCAGUGGCGAAGGCGGCUCACUGGACGAUUGUUGACGCUGAGGUGCGAAAGCGUGGGGAGCAAAC
This 427-nucleotide ribosomal RNA is filed under the name uncultured bacterium. RNAcentral describes it as "bacterial SSU rRNA". It matches the Rfam family "Bacterial small subunit ribosomal RNA", at positions 355 to 773 of the family's 1533-position model. The record is from RNAcentral.